RNAcentral lists this ribosomal RNA (1270 nucleotides) under Drosophila biarmipes. RNAcentral describes it as "SSU rRNA". It matches the Rfam family "Eukaryotic small subunit ribosomal RNA", at positions 493 to 1739 of the family's 1831-position model. Lineage: Eukaryota; Metazoa; Arthropoda; Insecta; Diptera; Drosophilidae. The record is from RNAcentral.
UAUCCGAGUCCCUGUAAUUGGAAUGAGUACACUUUAAAUCCUUUAACAAGGACCAAUUUGAGGGCAAGUCUGCGAGCAGCCGCGUUAAUUCCAGCUCCAAUAGCGUAUAUUAAAGUUGUUGCGGUUAAAACGUUCGUAGUUGAACUUGUGAAUCAUACGGGUAGUAAAACUUACAAUUGUGGUUAGUACUAUACCUUUACGUAUGUAAGCGUAUUACCGGUGGAGUUCUUACAUGUCCUUAGAUACUUGUAUUUUUUCAUACGUUCCUCCUAUUUAAAAACCUGCAUUACUGCUCUAAAGCGAGUGUUAUUGUGGGCCGGUAGAAUUACUUUACAAAUUAGAGUGCUUAAAGCAGGCUUCAAAUGCCUGAAUAUUCUGUGAAUGGGAUAAGGAAAUAAGACCUAUAUUCUGCUAUUAAUAGAAGCAGUUUGGGGGCAUUAGUAUUACUACGCGAGAGGUGAAAUUCUUGGACCGUCGUAAGACUAACUAAAGCAUUUGCCAAAGGUGUUUUCAUUAAUCAAGAACGAAAGUUAGAGGUUCGAAGGCGAUCAGAUACCGCCCUAGUUCUAACCAUAAGCGAUGCCAGCUAGCAAUUAGCUACUUUUAUGGCACUCUCAGUCGCUUCCCGGGAAACCAAAGCUUCGGUGCUCCGGGGGAAGUAUGGUUGCAAAGCUGAAACUUAAAGGAAUUGAUUUAAAUUGAAUUGAUGUAAUAGCUCUUUCUCGAAUAUAUGGGUGGUGGUGCAUGGUCGUUUUUAGUUCGUGGAGUAAUUUGUCUGGUUAAUUCCGAUAACGAACGGGACCCAAAUAUAUUAAAUAGAUAUCUUCUUGAAGUUUACAUAGCCUUCAUUUAUGGUGGCAGUAAAAUGUUUAUUCUGUUUGAAUGUGUUUAUAUAAGUGGAGCUGUAGCUGUGGUUUACCCCAUUAUAAAUUACACUAGCUUCUUAAAUAAACAAAUUGCGUCUAGCAAUAAUGAGAUUGAGCAAAAACAGGUCUGUGAUGCCCUUAGAUGUCCUGGGCUGCACGCACGCUACAAUGAAAGUAUCAACGUGUAUUUCCUAGACCGAGAGGUCCGGGUAAACCGCUGAACCACUUUCAUGCUUGGGAUUGUGAACUGAAACUGUUCAAAUGAACUUGGAAUUCCCAGUAAGUGUGAGUCAUUAACUCGCAUUGAUUACGUCCCUGCCCUUUGUACACACCGCCCGUCGCUACUACCGAUUGAAUUAUUAAGUGAGGUCUCCGGACGUGAUCGCUGUGACGCCUUGUGUGUU